Sphaeramia orbicularis (orbiculate cardinalfish) is the source of this 147-nucleotide long non-coding RNA. RefSeq lists it as uncharacterized. Lineage: Eukaryota; Metazoa; Chordata; Actinopteri; Kurtiformes; Apogonidae. The record is from RefSeq and is a predicted model, not a curated record. The transcript has 3 exons.
UCGAGUAAAUUUGACUCUAUAGUGAGUAAAUUUGACUCUAUAGUGAGUAAGUUUUGCUCUAUACUGAGUAAAUUUGGCUGUAUAUUGAGUAAAUUUAGAUCUUUACUGAGUAAAUUUGGAUCUACACUGACACUGGAAAAAGUGAAA